Molecule: ribosomal RNA, 578 nt
Filed under: uncultured bacterium
Lineage: Bacteria
Description: bacterial SSU rRNA
Rfam family: Bacterial small subunit ribosomal RNA
Source: RNAcentral
ACGGGUGAGUAACACGUGGGCAAUCUGCCCUUCACUCUGGGACAAGCCCUGGAAACGGGGUCUAAUACCGGAUAUCACUUCCACUCGCAUGGGUGGGGGUUGAAAGCUCCGGCGGUGAAGGAUGAGCCCGCGGCCUAUCAGCUUGUUGGUGAGGUAAUGGCUCACCAAGGCGACGACGGGUAGCCGGCCUGAGAGGGCGACCGGCCACACUGGGACUGAGACACGGCCCAGACACCUACGGGAGGCAGCAGUGGGGAAUAUUGCACAAUGGGCGAAAGCCUGAUGCAGCGACGCCGCGUGAGGGAUGACGGCCUUCGGGUUGUAAACCUCUUUCAGCAGGGAAGAAGCGAGAGUGACGGUACCUGCAGAAGAAGCGCCGGCUAACUACGUGCCAGCAGCCGCGGUAAUACGUAGGGCGCAAGCGUUGUCCGGAAUUAUUGGGCGUAAAGAGCUCGUAGGCGGUCUGUCGCGUCGGAUGUGAAAGCCCGGGGCUUAACCCCGGGUCUGCAUUCGAUACGGGCAGACUAGAGUGUGGUAGGGGAGAUCGGAAUUCCUGGUGUAGCGGUGAAAUGCGCAGA